This 433-nucleotide ribosomal RNA is filed under the name uncultured bacterium. RNAcentral describes it as "partial 16S ribosomal RNA". It matches the Rfam family "Bacterial small subunit ribosomal RNA", at positions 29 to 507 of the family's 1533-position model. The record is from RNAcentral.
AACGAACGCUGGCGGCAGGCCUAACACAUGCAAGUCGAGCGGACCCUUCGGGGUUAGCGGCGGACGGGUGAGUAACGCGUGGGAAUAUGCCCUUCUCUACGGAAUAGUCCUGGGAAACUGGGGGUAAUACCGUAUACGCUCUUUGGGGGAAAGAUUUAUCGGGGAAGGAUUAGCCCGCGUUGGAUUAGGUAGUUGGUGGGGUAAUGGCCUACCAAGCCGACGAUCCAUAGCUGGUUUGAGAGGAUGAUCAGCCACACUGGGACUGAGACACGGCCCAGACUCCUACGGGAGGCAGCAGUGGGGAAUCUUAGACAAUGGGGGCAACCCUGAUCGAGCCAUGCCGCGUGAGUGAUGAAGGCCUUAGGGUUGUAAAGCUCUUUCAGCUGGGAAGAUAAUGACGGUACCAGCAGAAGAAGCCCCGGCUAACUCCGUG